RNAcentral lists this transfer RNA (72 nucleotides) under bacterium. RNAcentral's name for it is "tRNA-Gly". It matches the Rfam family "tRNA". Rfam says of the family: Transfer RNA (tRNA) molecules are approximately 80 nucleotides in length. Their secondary structure includes four short double-helical elements and three loops (D, anti-codon, and T loops). The record is from RNAcentral. RNAcentral also lists the same sequence under 3 other names.
GCGGGCGUAGCUCAGUGGUAGAGCACCUGCUUGCCAUGCAGGGGGUCGCGGGUUCAAAUCCCGUCGCCCGCU